This 361-nucleotide ribosomal RNA is filed under the name Syncephalis fuscata. RNAcentral's name for it is "bacterial SSU rRNA". It matches the Rfam family "Eukaryotic small subunit ribosomal RNA", at positions 1487 to 1831 of the family's 1831-position model. Lineage: Eukaryota; Fungi; Zoopagomycota; Zoopagomycetes; Zoopagales; Piptocephalidaceae. The record is from RNAcentral.
GCGCACGCGCGCUACACUGACGGAGCCAGCGAGUACUGGCGCAAGCCUUCCUUGGCCGAAAGGUCCGGGUAAUCUUGGGAAACUCCGUCGUGCUGGGGAUAGUCCUUUGCAAUUAUCGGACUUGAACGAGGAAUUCCUAGUAAGCGCGGUUCAUCAGAUCGCGUUGAUUACGUCCCUGCCCUUUGUACACACCGCCCGUCGCUACUACCGAUUGAAUGGCUUAGUGAGGCCCUCGGAUUGGCGUAUUGCUGCCGGCAACGGCUGGUUAUAUGCCGAGAAGUUGGUCAAACUUGGUCAUUUAGAGGAAGUAAAAGUCGUAACAAGGUAUCCGUAGGUGAACCUGCGGAUGGAUCAUUAACGU